This is a long non-coding RNA of Vicia villosa (hairy vetch), 2098 nucleotides long. RefSeq lists it as uncharacterized. Lineage: Eukaryota; Viridiplantae; Streptophyta; Magnoliopsida; Fabales; Fabaceae. The transcript has 6 exons. The record is from RefSeq and is a predicted model, not a curated record.
UAAUUAGUGUCCUUUCAAUUUCCACCGUUCACAUAAAACAACUGCAAACUUUAGGCUUCUCGAUGCAUACCCGGAAUAAAUGUAGGUUUCUCGAUUUUGUUCUAAUCUUUCUCGAUGCAUACAACGAAUCCUUCCAGUGUAAUUACCCUCACGUCUUAUUAAAUUUGGUCUAAUUUCGUUCAAUUAUCAAAGGCGAUUUCGAUAUCGCUUCAAAACCCAAAACCCUCUCCACCAACCCUUCUUCAUUCGUAUUCACUAACCAUCAUCUCCAACCCCAACAACAACAAAAACAAUUUCAAUUACCACAAGUUUUCGAAUGCUCUGUUUAUUUCUCACCUCCCGAGAGCUUUCUCAAAGACCCACUACUUCCUUUCUCGAAUCUUCCCCUCCUAAACCAUGUUUCAAUGACAUGGAUAUCGAAAUUGAUCAAUUUAAGAAAAAACAGAGGGAGUCGGGACGUCCUUCGCAGUAGAUUGCUAAUGUUGUAUACUUUACAUAUUCUUUGGUAUAGAUUAUGAGAGUAGGUGAAAUGUUGGCAAUGGCGUGCCUGUUAUAAUUUCUUUGCAAGCUUUCAGGAAAAGGAGCCCCUCAAGUUAAAGAAAGAAAGAGGUUCAUCCCAAAUUCGUGUCUUCCGAGAAUGAAGAAGAUGAUGUUGGUACUAAAUGUUUGAAAAGCAUAGACAACAAAAUGAAGGAAAUACUCCAAACUCCGACACCGGAAUCAAAGAUGAAUGUUGAAGCAACAUCGAAAUCCUUAGAGGAAAUAGUUUGAGUUCAGAGAGACUUUCAAGAACAAAAAUCCUACCAACAAAUAUGUUGAUCACAAGUGCGGCUACUUAACACUAUAUGUGUAAUUCCCAUUUCAAUCUUUGUGUGGCUGCAAAUGAUGAGAUACUGCAUUGAAAAUGUUGUUGGUUGAGUUUCUUUUUUUUUUUAAAACUUGGUAAACUGCUGCUUCCAUUUUUUUAGUAUCAUCUGUAAUUGUUACUCUCAUAAUAUUAUAUAACUUAUAAUCUUGGCACUGGUUUUUCUUAAAUUAUUUGGUUACAUAUAACUUUGGCAGGAUUUAUGUUCUUACUAAUAUCUGUGUUGCUACCACUGCGAAGGUAAGUUGGUUUUUGGAAAACAAAUUGUUAUGAGUUAUGGGAAAGAUUACACAUCUCUGAUGCCCUAUCACCGGAGCCUUCAAAUUCAUAAGUAACAAACUUAUCCAAAGCAUUUUAACAUUUAGUUGCUCCAUCUCCAUCUCCAUCCCAUGAUAAUAUUGAUCAAGGUGAACUCCAAAUUGCUCAAAUAGCUCAUGAGUUAGAUGUUAAUACAUCACAGGUUAGAAAAUGGGUCACCAAGGUGCAAAUAAUCCAUCUCCAUCCCAUGAUAAUAUUGAUCAAGGUGAACUCCAAAUUGCUCAAAUAGCUCAUGAGUUAGAUGUUAAUACAUCACAGGUUAGAAAAUGGGUCACCAAGGUGCAAUAAUUAUUGGGGCUUAGUUAUAGCUUUAGGUAUAAUUUAUUAUUUUGAUGCUAAAAGGAAAUGGUUACUUCUGAUGUUCAGAAUCACAAGGUCUUUUUGAUGAGUCUGUAGUGAAAUAUUUUUUCAUUUAUUGGUUAGGGUCAUGUGUUGUAUGACAUGUCUUAUAUGGAGUAAGUCUUGAUUUCGAAAAUGUCAUGUUUAUUAUACUGUUUCCGCUUAUCUAUUUUACAGUUAUGUGUUCAUCAUUAUCUUUGUUGAUAUAGCUUUUUAUGUCUACAGGCCAUGUAUAAUAUAAUUUCAACAGCCAAAGAGAAAGGAAUUCUCACACCAAAGAGAAUUUUGUAAAGCUUUGGAAUUUUUCUUUUGGAAUUACUUACCGGAAGAAAGAAUCUCGAUAGUCAUCAUCCUAAAGAAGAGUGGAAUUUAGUCAAAUGAAGCAGACCUUUCUUAGCUGAUAAAAUUGUUGUUUGAAUGAAUGAAAUGUUUGUGGCUGUCAAUUGAAAAAAAGUUUUAUAUGGAAGUUAUACAAUUCGUAGGUUUAUAAGGUGGAAAGAUAUUCAUUGUUAGGUGUUUAUAGGGUGGAGGUAAUUCUCUUGAAAUAUAUUCAAAAUAAUUAGCGUUUGCCAGACA